Molecule: ribosomal RNA, 735 nt
Filed under: uncultured bacterium
Lineage: Bacteria
Description: bacterial SSU rRNA
Rfam family: Bacterial small subunit ribosomal RNA
Source: RNAcentral
UAACACGUAAACAACCUGCCUUCAGGAUGGGGACAACAGACGGAAACGACUGCUAAUACCGAAUAAGUUCCAAGAGCCGCAUGGCCCAUGGAAGAAAAGGUGGCCUCUACCUGUAAGCUAUCGCCUGAAGAGGGGUUUGCGUCUGAUUAGCUGGUUGGAGGGGUAACGGCCCACCAAGGCGACGAUCAGUAGCCGGUCUGAGAGGAUGAACGGCCACACUGGAACUGAGACACGGUCCAGACUCCUACGGGAGGCAGCAGUGGGGAAUCUUCCGCAAUGGGCGAAAGCCUGACGGAGCAACGCCGCGUGAGUGAUGACGGCCUUCGGGUUGUAAAACUCUGUGAUCCGGGACGAAAAGGCAGAGUGCGAAGAACAAACUGCAUUGACGGUACCGGAAAAGCAAGCCACGGCUAACUACGUGCCAGCAGCCGCGGUAAUACGUAGGUGGCAAGCGUUGUCCGGAAUUAUUGGGCGUAAAGCGCGCGCAGGCGGCUUCCCAAGUCCCUCUUAAAAGUGCGGGGCUUAACCCCGUGAUGGGAAGGAAACUGGGAAGCUGGAGUGUCGGAGAGGAAAGUGGAAUUCCUAGUGUAGCGGUGAAAUGCGUAGAGAUUAGGAAGAACACCGGUGGCGAAGGCGACUUUCUGGACGAAAACUGACGCUGAGGCGCGAAAGCGUGGGGAGCAAACAGGAUUAGAUACCCUGGUAGUCCACGCCGUAAACGAUGGAUACUAGGUG